GGGCACUUGGCACAGUGGUAGCGCGCACGCUUCGCAGUUGCAAUUGCGUGAGGUCCAGGGUUCAAUCCCCUGAGUGUCCA
Molecule: non-coding RNA, 80 nt
Organism: Obba rivulosa
Lineage: Eukaryota; Fungi; Basidiomycota; Agaricomycetes; Polyporales; Gelatoporiaceae
Source: the annotation of a GenBank genome assembly